GAUGAACGCUGGCGGCGUGCCUAAUACAUGCAAGUCGAGCGAACGGACGAGAAGCUUGCUUUUCUGAUGUUAGCGGCGGACGGGUGAGUAACACGUGGAUAACCUACCUAUAAGACUGGGAUAACUUCGGGAAACCGGAGCUAAUACCGGAUAAUAUUUUGAACCGCAUGGUUCAAAAGUGAAAGACGGUCUUGCUGUCACUUAUAGAUGGAUCCGCGCUGCAUUAGCUAGUUGGUAAGGUAACGGCUUACCAAGGCAACGAUGCAUAGCCGACCUGAGAGGGUGAUCGGCCACACUGGAAGUGAGACACGGUCCAGACGCCUACGGGAGGCAGCAGUAGGGAAUCGUCCGCAAUGGGCGAGAGCCUGACGGAGCAACGCCGCGUGAGUGAUGAAGGUCUUCGGAUCGUAAAACUCUGUUAUUAGGGAAGAACAUAUGUGUAAGUAACUGUGCACAUCUUGACGGUACCUAAUCAGAAAGCCACGGCUAACUACGUG
Molecule: ribosomal RNA, 497 nt
Filed under: uncultured bacterium
Lineage: Bacteria
Description: partial 16S ribosomal RNA
Rfam family: Bacterial small subunit ribosomal RNA
Source: RNAcentral